AUCACCUCUCGGCCUUUUGGCUAAGAUCAAGUGUAGUAUCUGUUCUUGUCAGUUUAAAAAGGGACAACUAGGGGUGGGCAUUUUGACACACAGUGGUUUAGUCACCACUGGGAUCACUGGGAUGCCCAUAUUCCACAUCGAAGUGCCUGGCUUGAGUCCUGGUUUUGCUUCUGCCUGGUUUUUUGGGGUUUUU
Molecule: small nuclear RNA, 193 nt
Organism: Ochotona curzoniae (black-lipped pika)
Lineage: Eukaryota; Metazoa; Chordata; Mammalia; Lagomorpha; Ochotonidae
Product: U2 spliceosomal RNA
Exons: 1
Source: RefSeq, a predicted model, not a curated record